AUAUCUACCUUUUGAAUCAAGACCGAGGAGAAUGAAUGACACAUCUUUCAGGAUUCAGCUUGACUGAGAGCCAGCUGUUACAGCCUUGCACAUUUAGUGCAACUUCAUUAAGACUGAAUAACUGGGCCAGGAGCUUAGCUCAGCCUCAGCGGCACCUUACCUGCCUGGAAAUUGCAAGGUCCUGAGUUCAUUCCCUGCUACUCCACCCCCCAAGAAAAAGACUGAAUG
Molecule: long non-coding RNA, 228 nt
Filed under: Fukomys damarensis (Damara mole-rat)
Lineage: Eukaryota; Metazoa; Chordata; Mammalia; Rodentia; Bathyergidae
Description: lncRNA (ENSFDAG00000023729.1)
Source: RNAcentral